GAUCAUUUCACCUUCUUUGUCUCACGAACUUUCCCUCUAUAUUAAUAAUAAUAAUAAUAAAGCCCUGCCCCGUUUUAAGUAUUGUAGCCCCUGAUCACUGAUACCCUGUCCAAGUGACGUAGGGCCCCAUAACGUAUGUCAAGGCUCUGCCUAAAUUCGUUGGGGUUCUGUCUCGUGACGUAGGAAUAAAGUGGAAUUGGGUUACUAUACUUAAUGUGAGUGCACUAUAUAUUUUAUUAAAUAACCCAGGAGUGAUACCCAAAAUAUAACAACCCUCCUAAAACACCCCUGACACCCUACACUUCCUAAAAUACACCCCGUAUGUGAAAACCGAGCCCGAAAUACAAUAUAGCAUUAAAAAUAAAUUCAAAACAAGAAAAAGUAAGUUGAGGCGGGCCGCGUAAGAUCCUCGCUUAGUUAACGCGGGCCGCGAGAGAUCGAAGUUGUGGCGUAGCCCGGUGAUGACACGUGUCAUCAUCGUGGCGGGUCUAGAGGGUGAGCCGGACAAGCUAGUCCGUUGACCAGGGUUGACGCGGGCCGCGUAACCCCUGUCCUUUCUUUACGCGGGCCGCGUGGGAACCAGUUUCAGCAACUAUAAAUAGAGGCCAUCGGAUUUCAUUUGGAAUUCGCUCACGAACGUUUUCUUCUCUCAAAUCUGAAUAUUAGGCAUAAUACUCGGGUAUUAUACCCCCCUAAUUAGCAAAGCUCUGCCUCGUUACUAUAACCAGGGAAUCACAAAGGAAAGCCUUAUAAUAGCAAUGUGAGUGAUCCUUCUUUUUAUAUGCUCAUUUUUGUGAGUAAACCUUUUGUUGAAUGUUUUUACAAAACCUCAUUUAAUUAAAUAUAUACAAAGCAGUUAUUGAGUAUUUGUAAAGAAUACAAUUAUAGUGGGUAUGUUGGGGUUUUGUAUACAAAAUUGGUUACUGGCGUGGUAACAUCCCAUAUGUUGAGUAUGACCGUACCACUGAUGUUAAUUGUGAUGUCUUGAAUACAAAUGUAAUUGCGGAUGUGCCCUCAAUACUGCAAAUUGGUUUCUAUUUAAACUUGAUUAAACUGGGAUUCACUCACCAGUAUUUCCUGCUGAUAAAAUGUUUUAAACACGUGUUUCAGGUAACUUAGUGUGAAGCCAAUAAAAGCCAGCUGGAGAGCACUGAAGGCUUGGAAAAGUGGCUAUAAAGUUACCUAAAAUAAAAUAGCUGUUUUUAUUAAUAAAAAUAGGAUUUAUUCCUAUGAAAGCGUGCAUACUGAAAACUUGGGUUUUACCCAUGUGUUUAAUAUUAUGAAAAUGUGGUGGUUUUACUCUGAUAAAAAUAUUUCCUAACUACGGUCCUGAUGAAAAAAUUCCGCUGCCAAAUUAGACAAUACACGAUACCACCGAAACUGGCUCACGGCCGCCCGUUCCUGAGGGGUUGGGGGUUGUGACAGAAGGUGGUAUCAGAGCUAUGCCACUGGUCUAAGCCAAAGAAGUGUUCUGCUGACACUUAAGUUUUAAAUUCUGUGUUAGGAAAUUAAUAUAACAAUUUAUGUGUUAUUCUGUAGUAUGAGUAACCAAUAUAACUAGACGUACCCAUAGGCUACCUCGGCAGAUGUGUUAUACUACACUCUUAUACAAUUAGUAACUUAAGGUAUCACCUUGAGUGGGAUCUCUUCUUAAAUAAAUGAAUGUACCGUAAUAUAUAUGUGUGUGUGUAUACACUACUAUGUGUAUAUCAACCUUACUAAGAAAUAUUAAUACACGUUCAUUUUGUAAAAAUAUUCAUAGAUUAUGGGUAUAAAUUUUAGAUAUUAAAUCUAAAAUCAUAAUUUAUGGUAAAUUUACAUAAGAAAUCGAAUAACAUUAUGUAUCCACCUUAAAUAAAUAAAAGUAUGUUAUUUUAAGUUGAUUCAUAGACUUCAUGAUCUAUACCAUGAUCUAUCCUUAUGAAUGGUGGUAUAGAUUAUGGUAAAUUCCUGAAUUGACCUUAAAUCCAGAAAUCGUGUUAAUAUACAAUAUUAAUUGUAUGUAAAAUAAUAUACACGUUAUAGUAUAGUAUACUUCUAAUAAACAUACGUUAUAAUACACCAUUAAAAAAAAUGGGUCUGAUGGUUUGUACAAUCGGUAUAAAAGAGAGUGAAUAGUUAAUGUUUUUAAGAAAUAAAAAUAAGGGAACCUCAUUUCAACCAAAUCCCUCAGGAUACUCAGCAGAUACUGAGAAGGGAAUUUUUAUUCGUAAGGCACAGUCUGAGAAACCAUUUACCACUAAAAAGAGAAGUAGA
Molecule: long non-coding RNA, 2256 nt
Filed under: Helianthus annuus (common sunflower)
Lineage: Eukaryota; Viridiplantae; Streptophyta; Magnoliopsida; Asterales; Asteraceae
Description: hypothetical non coding rna
Source: RNAcentral